UACGGAGGGUGCAAGCGUUUAAUCGGAAUUACUGGGCGUAAAGCGCGCGUAGGCGGUUUGAUAAGUCGAUUGUGAAAUCCCCGGGCUCAACCUGGGAAUUGCAGUCGAGACUGUCAGACUAGAGUGUGGGAGAGGGUGGUGGAAUUCCCGGUGUAGCGGUGAAAUGCGUAGAUAUCGGGAGGAACAUCAGUGGCGAAGGCGACCGCCUGGCCCAACACUGACGCUGAGGUGCGAAAGCGUGGGUAGCAAACAGG
RNAcentral lists this ribosomal RNA (254 nucleotides) under uncultured bacterium. RNAcentral describes it as "partial 16S ribosomal RNA". It matches the Rfam family "Bacterial small subunit ribosomal RNA", at positions 524 to 776 of the family's 1533-position model. The record is from RNAcentral.